Gossypium hirsutum (cotton) is the source of this 106-nucleotide non-coding RNA. The record is from Rfam. NCBI's taxonomy places the organism in Eukaryota, Viridiplantae, Streptophyta, Magnoliopsida, Malvales, Malvaceae.
AUCCCAUGAUAAGGACACUUACGAAGUAAUUCCUUAAAUCUUUCCCAAGCCUCGUACAAAGACUCGUCAUCCAAUUGCUAGAAAGUUGUUAUCUCAUUAUGCAAUU